Molecule: long non-coding RNA, 241 nt
Filed under: Mytilus galloprovincialis (Mediterranean mussel)
Lineage: Eukaryota; Metazoa; Mollusca; Bivalvia; Mytilida; Mytilidae
Source: RNAcentral
UGACAAAAUAGAGGUCAAGUUCAAUAAUGACGAUUUUGACUUUUACCGUUCAGGAGUUACGGUUCUUGAAAGAUCGUAAAAUAGCGUUUCCAUUCAGGUUGCAUUUACUCAUGAACCAUUCAAUCUAAGCUUUUCAAAUUUUAAUAUGUUGAUACUGAUGACAAAAUGGAGGUCAAAUUUGAUAUCGACGAUUUUCACUUUCACCAUUCAUCAGUAAUGGUUCUUGUGAUAUUGCCAGGAC